Ictalurus punctatus (channel catfish) is the source of this 434-nucleotide long non-coding RNA. NCBI's taxonomy places the organism in Eukaryota, Metazoa, Chordata, Actinopteri, Siluriformes, Ictaluridae. The record is from Ensembl.
CGGAUUUGGAGGGAAUGACACGCGGCAGCAAAGCGGGAAAAGAAAAUGGAGUUUUAACGCUGAGCUGUAACCGCCAGGCGCAGUUUUCACCGUGGAACUGAAGGGACAAGGACUGUGGAGAACUGUGCUAAGUAGCACGGUAACUACGCCUGUGUAAGAAGGGACUCUACCGCCGAACCUGCAUCGCUGAAUCGACUAUUACCUGCUGGACUCUGCAGCGGAUUUAUUCACACAGCUCGUUUCCAAGUCAGAUAAUUCUUCUCUUCGAUCGGCGUGUUGGGGAAGAAAAGGUAGUAUCUGGUAUGUAUCAAUGUACUGUUUUAAGUAUUUUAGAGUAUUUUUUAAAGUUUAUGUUUUAAGUAUUUAAGUAUUGUAAAUAGUAUUUAGUUCGUAUCAAUGUCCUUUUUUUUUUUUUUUUUUUUUUUUAAAGUAAG